CACUUUCAUACUAGGAUUUACUACCUGCCGGUUAAUACCCAGGUAGACUGACAUUACCUAUACAAGANGCACCGGCUAACUCCGUG
This 86-nucleotide ribosomal RNA is filed under the name uncultured Gammaproteobacteria bacterium. Its description in RNAcentral is "partial 16S ribosomal RNA". The record is from RNAcentral. Lineage: Bacteria; Pseudomonadati; Pseudomonadota; Gammaproteobacteria.